This 29-nucleotide small RNA is filed under the name Bombyx mori (domestic silkworm). RNAcentral describes it as "ovarian small RNA-8264". Lineage: Eukaryota; Metazoa; Arthropoda; Insecta; Lepidoptera; Bombycidae. The record is from RNAcentral.
UGAUACAAGAAUGGGUAUAAAGCCGGAAU